CUGGGAGGACCAUCUCCUAAGGCUAAAUACUCUCUAGUGACCGAUAGUGAACCAGUACCGUGAGGGAAAGGUGAAAAGCACCCCGGAAGGGGAGUGAAAUAGAACCUGAAACCGUGUGCUUACAAGUAGUCAGAGCCCGUUAAUGGGUGAUGGCGUGCCUUUUGUAGAAUGAACCGGCGAGUUACGAUUUGAUGCAAGGUUAAGCAGUAAAUGUGGAGCCGUAGCGAAAGCGAGUCUGAAUAGGGCGUUUAGUAUUUGGUCGUAGACCCGAAACCAGGUGAUCUACCCUUGGUCAGGUUGAAGUUCAGGUAACACUGAAUGGAGGACCGAACCGACUUACGUUGAAAAGUGAGCGGAUGAACUGAGGGUAGCGGAGAAAUUCCAAUCGAACCUGGAGAUAGCUGGUUCUCUCCGAAAUAGCUUUAGGGCUAGCCUCAAGUGAUGAUUAUUGGAGGUAGAGCACUGUUUGGACGAGGGGCCCCUCUCGGGUUACCGAAUUCAGACAAACUCCGAAUGCCAAUUAAUUUAACUUGGGAGUCAGAACAUGGGUGAUAAGGUCCGUGUUCGAAAGGGAAACAGCCCAGACCACCAGCUAAGGUCCCAAAAUAUAUGUUAAGUGGAAAAGGAUGUGGCGUUGCCCAGACAACUAGGAUGUUGGCUUAGAAGCAGCCAUCAUUUAAAGAGUGCGUAAUAGCUCACUAGUCGAGUGACACUGCGCCGAAAAUGUACCGGGGCUAAACAUAUUACCGAAGCUGUGGAUUGUCCUUUGGACAAUGGUAGGAGAGCGUUCUAAGGGCGUUGAAGCAUGAUCGUAAGGACAUGUGGAGCGCUUAGAAGUGAGAAUGCCGGUGUGAGUAGCGAAAGACGGGUGAGAAUCCCGUCCACCGAUUGACUAAGGUUUCCAGAGGAAGGCUCGUCCGCUCUGGGUUAGUCGGGUCCUAAGCUGAGGCCGACAGGCGUAGGCGAUGGAUAACAGGUUGAUAUUCCUGUACCACCUAUAAUCGUUUUAAUCGAUGGGGGGACGCAGUAGGAUAGGCGAAGCGUGCGAUUGGAUUGCACGUCUAAGCAGUAAGGCUGAGUAUUAGGCAAAUCCGGUACUCGUUAAGGCUGAGCUGUGAUGGGGAGAAGACAUUGUGUCUUCGAGUCGUUGAUUUCACACUGCCGAGAAAAGCCUCUAGAUAGAAAAUAGGUGCCCGUACCGCAAACCGACACAGGUAGUCAAGAUGAGAAUUCUAAGGUGAGCGAGCGAACUCUCGUUAAGGAACUCGGCAAAAUGACCCCGUAACUUCGGGAGAAGGGGUGCUCUUUAGGGUUAACGCCCAGAAGAGCCGCAGUGAAUAGGCCCAAGCGACUGUUUAUCAAAAACACAGGUCUCUGCUAAACCGUAAGGUGAUGUAUAGGGGCUGACGCCUGCCCGGUGCUGGAAGGUU
RNAcentral lists this ribosomal RNA (1430 nucleotides) under Staphylococcus aureus. RNAcentral's name for it is "partial 23S ribosomal RNA". It matches the Rfam family "Bacterial large subunit ribosomal RNA", at positions 444 to 1878 of the family's 2925-position model. Lineage: Bacteria; Bacillati; Bacillota; Bacilli; Caryophanales; Staphylococcaceae. The record is from RNAcentral.